UGUAAUGAGUUUUAUGGAUGUUAGUGUGUGCUUGACCAUAGUUUGUUGUAUCCCUUUUAUGCAUGAUCUUAGAGAUCUUUAUGAUGUUUAUGUAAACCAACUCAACAGAUGUUAUGCUACCCUUUGGGGGCACAGAUGAGAUCCCACAGAGGGAUCAAAGUUAUGUUUAUGUUUAUGCACAGGUUGAGUUUGGUUGAUGUUCAUGGAAUGAAAAGUUUUAAUUUUUAUGCAUGUUGUUGAUCAUGUAUGGGAUUAUACAG
RNAcentral lists this long non-coding RNA (260 nucleotides) under Manihot esculenta (cassava). RNAcentral describes it as "long non-coding RNA (MESC_LNC000118)". Lineage: Eukaryota; Viridiplantae; Streptophyta; Magnoliopsida; Malpighiales; Euphorbiaceae. The record is from RNAcentral.